RNAcentral lists this ribosomal RNA (274 nucleotides) under uncultured bacterium. RNAcentral's name for it is "partial 16S ribosomal RNA". It matches the Rfam family "Bacterial small subunit ribosomal RNA", at positions 523 to 796 of the family's 1533-position model. The record is from RNAcentral.
AUACAGAGGGUGCGAGCGUUAAUCGGAAUUACUGGGCGUAAAGCGCGCGUAGGCGGCUUGGUCAGUCGGAUGUGAAAGCCCCGGGCUCAACCUGGGAAUGGCAUUCGAUACUGCCAGGCUAGAGUAUGGGAGAGGGAAGUGGAAUUUCCGGUGUAGCGGUGAAAUGCGUAGAUAUCGGAAGGAACACCAGUGGCGAAGGCGACUUCCUGGCCCAAUACUGACGCUGAGGUGCGAAAGCGUGGGGAGCAAACAGGAUUAGAAACCCUAGUAGUCC